AAAACUUUUCCAAAAUAAAGAAAAUCUGUUCUUAUCAGUUUAAUAUCUGAUACGUCCCCUAUCUGGGGACCAUAUAUUAAAUUGAUUUUUGGAAUAGGGAGAUGGAAUAGGGGCUUGCUCCGUCCACUCCACGCAUCGACCUGGUAUUGCAGUACCUCCAGGAACGGUGCACCCCCU
Small nuclear RNA from Oncorhynchus tshawytscha (Chinook salmon), 177 nucleotides. Its record names the gene U2. It matches the Rfam family "U2 spliceosomal RNA". Rfam says of the family: U2 is a small nuclear RNA (snRNA) component of the spliceosome (involved in pre-mRNA splicing). Complementary binding between U2 snRNA (in an area lying towards the 5' end but 3' to hairpin I) and the branchpoint sequence (BPS) of the intron results the bulging out of an unpaired adenosine, on the BPS, which initiates a nucleophilic attack at the intronic 5' splice site, thus starting the first of two transesterification reactions that mediate splicing. Lineage: Eukaryota; Metazoa; Chordata; Actinopteri; Salmoniformes; Salmonidae. The record is from Ensembl.